CCCUCAUAACCAAAGGCAGAAGGAUUAUUAACUAUUUCUCCAGCCAGAAGCUCAAAUGGAACCUUGGUAUAAGGACACUCAUCCAGCAGAUAGAAAGUGAGGGAGUUUUGACCAACAACAAGGUUGGCACAGCAGCCAUACUUCUCAUGAUGAAGUAUUACAAGGAAGAUGAAGACUCCCUCUUUGUCUUAGCAGAUGAAACAUCUACCAGGAUGUCCCUUGAAGCAGAGAGCAACCUGCCAAUCACUCCAAGGCUGAUUAUGCUUGAUGAUCCAUGGCCCAUGCUUUCUGGACAUUUACACAAGACGAACAACAAAGAAGACAAGCUCUCUCGCCAUCUUGCAAGACGCUGUCUCUGUCCAAUAGGUUUUUUGAGUGCAACAGUUUUGAUUUUUUUUUUCCUUCUUUUACCCGUUUGUUAAAAAUUAUUUCAGCUACUUACACUUUAAUUGUCACAUGUAUUGGCUCACCCUACAAAUCAAUGAACUCAGUCCA
Long non-coding RNA from Oreochromis aureus, 495 nucleotides. RefSeq lists it as uncharacterized. The record is from RefSeq and is a predicted model, not a curated record. NCBI's taxonomy places the organism in Eukaryota, Metazoa, Chordata, Actinopteri, Cichliformes, Cichlidae. The transcript has 3 exons.